AUAUUGCACAAUGGGGGAAACCCUGAUGCAGCAACGCCGCGUGAGUGAUGACGGCCUUCGGGUUGUAAAGCUCUGUCUUCAGGGACGAUAAUGACGGUACCUGAGGAGGAAGCCACGGCUAACUACGUGCCAGCAGCCGCGGUAAUACGUAGGUGGCAAGCGUUGUCCGGAUUUACUGGGCGUAAAGGGAGCGUAGGCGGACUUUUAAGUGAGAUGUGAAAUACCCGGGCUCAACCUGGGUGCUGCAUUUCAAACUGGAAGUCUAGAGUGCAGGAGAGGAGAGUGGAAUUCCUAGUGUAGCGGUGAAAUGCGUAGAGAUUAGGAAGAACACCAGUGGCGAAGGCGACUCUCUGGACUGUAACUGACGCUGAGGCUCGAAAGCGUGGGGAGCAAACA
RNAcentral lists this ribosomal RNA (396 nucleotides) under uncultured bacterium. RNAcentral describes it as "bacterial SSU rRNA". It matches the Rfam family "Bacterial small subunit ribosomal RNA", at positions 361 to 774 of the family's 1533-position model. The record is from RNAcentral.